CUUAUUGGCAGAAUAUUGCGUUAGAGUUAGAAUCUAACAAUCA
RNAcentral lists this transfer RNA (43 nucleotides) under Nemesia uncinata. RNAcentral describes it as "tRNA-Leu". Lineage: Eukaryota; Metazoa; Arthropoda; Arachnida; Araneae; Nemesiidae. The record is from RNAcentral.